CUGUUCUAAAGGAGAAUUCCAGCACUAGCUCCAGUGUUUCUCCUCCUCACUGGCUGCAGACAGCCAAUCAGAGAAGAGACUGAAUUUGGUUGAUUUACAGUUCUACAGUCAGAACAUCGGUACCACCACAGCCGGUUCUGUCUGGACUGAGCUUCAGCUUCUUAUUGGUCCAUGUCUAACUGGUCCUCGGACCAGGGGAGGUGGUGGACCAGGCCCUGGUUUAUGUUUAUAUACAGUAUGUGUGUGUGUAUAUAUUUGACAGAGCAGCAGCGUCUACUGUAGUCCAGCCAUAUGUCUCCUAAUAGAGGAGCAGCUCAGAAAUAUACAGCUGUUAUAUACUGUGGCUAAACAUAGGGCCACGUCGGAGAGAAGUGUGGUGAAGUUGGUGUGGUGUUAGCAGUUCAACUCCACCUGUGGUAAAGUGUCUCUAUGAAUAUGGUGUAGUGGUGUAGUGGUUAGCACGCCUGCCUUAAUAUUCAGAGAGUCCUGGGUUUGAUUCCCAGAGGAAUCCAUAAAAUCAGAGGCUGUUGCUACAUGUUAGUCUUUAAAUAAAGGUCAAAGGUUUAGUUGCCGUGUCUCUGGAUAACACAGGCAGAGCGCCUCCCUGUGGACAGUCCUCUGCUCUGCGGCUGCUGAGACUGAUGGAUCCCUAUAUUUGCUUUGAAUUUUUUUAAAACUAAAAAGAAGAAGAAGAACCUGCAAGAACUGAGGAGAUCAAAGAGACCUCCCUGGACCGUCUGUCCAGGUCUGUCUGGACCGUCUGUCCAGGUCUGUCUGUCCAGGUCUGUCUGUCCAGGUCUGUCCCUGUUUUAUUCUCACCUCCGUUUAGAUUCAGAGAAAUGGUGUCGACUCCAGGCUGCCUCAAAACAACCCAAACAUCUCUAAGAAUCCUCUGACCAAAGAACAUUCAUCACCACCAGUAGAUGUCGCUCACCUCACCAAUCUUUAAACUACCUACAGAAAAAAGCUUUCGUGAAGAGCUAGCCUUAGCGAUACCUUGUCAUUUCCGUCACAGUGAGUUGAGCAGCUGUCCACGUGCCGCGGUCGCACCAGGAGGAGACGGUGGAGAAGAGGACCAGGCUGCUCUCCUGCUCCACUGAAGGAAAACUCUUUGUUAUGGUUUUCCUCCGGUCUGAUGUUCUUCUGGAGAACGUUGUUUUGGUAGAACUUCUAAUUUGAUCUGAACCUGAUGUUGUUUUCCUGUUUUUUAAACUCCAUCGUUCCACAUUCAUUAAGUCAAAGAAAGAAAAAAAAGAAAAAGACGACGCAGCGUCAGAGUGAGAACCUUCAGCCCGGAGCUGCUGUCCCUCAGUCUCUGCACUCAUGGAAACGUCAUGUUGUUGAAUGUAAAAACCAACUGAACACUACCUUGACCACAACUCCUAAGGCCUCCAGAAAGCUCCGCCCAUCCCUGCAGGAACCAUCUGCGUUCUGUUCCAGAAAUAACCUUGUUUUAUCCCAAAUGUGUUUUUUUUUAACCUUAGGAAUGGUUCGUCACCACGGGCUGAACAGCAUUGUGGGAGUUUAUUGCUGAAGGAACGUUGUUUACGAUGGUGAUGACACAGUAGGUCGUUGGUGCGUCCUCCUGAGGUGAUGAUGUGUCUGUUGUUCCUGUGUCUGUGAACACACCUGCAGAGAGAAGGUUACAGAAGGGUGAACCCAUGCACUGCUAUAUGUGUGUGUGUGUGUGUGUGUGUACACACAGAAUAUACACACAACUACUUGACAUCUAUAACUGUGCCACUUUAUUCAAACAAUAAAGAGCCGAACUGUA
Molecule: long non-coding RNA, 1774 nt
Organism: Cynoglossus semilaevis (tongue sole)
Lineage: Eukaryota; Metazoa; Chordata; Actinopteri; Pleuronectiformes; Cynoglossidae
Exons: 2
Source: RefSeq, a predicted model, not a curated record